This 530-nucleotide long non-coding RNA is filed under the name Homo sapiens (human). RNAcentral describes it as "HSALNT0211294". Lineage: Eukaryota; Metazoa; Chordata; Mammalia; Primates; Hominidae. The record is from RNAcentral.
CUAGAAUAAACCACUCCAAUUAAAUGACAUAUUGAGACAGGUAAUUCACUGUAAUAUUUAUUAAGUAGAUGACUUACAAGAGGGAUAUUGAUGAAUGUAAAAAUUUUCACUCACAGUGAACAUGAAACCUUUACACAUGUAAGGUUUAGAUUCUUUUUUUUUUUUUAAUCUGCCCCUUUCAGAUUAUAUCAUGGUAUAUGAAGCACUGGUGAGGUCUAUGUCACCAGAAAUUCCCAGUUUGCUGAUUUCAUUGAGUUUUUUAACCCGAUGAUUGUACUGCAACAAGUGAGCAUCAUUCACUGCAACCUUGAAGUGGUCAGGUUCAACCAGUACUUGUAUCUGAAAUGGCAUAUACAUAAACUGUUACAUGAGGUAAUGCAUAUGUCAGCUGGAUUUAGGCAUUCCACAAUAUAUACAUAUUUCAUCUGCACUAUAGAAACAAUUUUUUGUCAACUGAAAUAAAGGGAAAAAAUGUCCAUUAAUUUCAAACCAGUCUGGCCUGAGCCCAGGAUGUCCAACAUUUCAUCCUU